UCCAAGGGAGAGGCCAUUCUCUUUUGGUUGGUCGUGUGAAAGGAUAGACAAGAACCCCCAAAAUGGUGGUUGAGAGCUAGAUUGGUGAAAGUUAUUGAGGGCUGAAUAUACCAUAUAUAUGAACUUGUGAAGUGGAAAGUACUUGCAUUACUUUGGGACAGAUCUAUAUGUAGCACGUGAAUACUUUCUAGUUUCUAGGACCAAGAAAGGGAAACUUGUUAUGCGCAGUGGGUUGGACAUCAAGCAUAAGUGACUGUAUUUUGCAGUUGAUAUAUCAAGAUAAGUUUGCAAAAGAAAGUAUGAAGAGUGAAAAGUUUUUUAUUGUUACUUUGUUUUCUGCAAUCUUAUAAAAAAUGCAUAACAUGUAUGGCUAGGUUCCUCAAAAAAAGUACUGGGUAUUCGAAGCUUCUAAAUAGUGUUUGUCUUCCUGUCACUUGGAAAUGCAAGGGAUAAUAGGAGUAUCUCUUCCUCGAUUUUCAAGCCGCAGAGCCAUCACCUAGUUUGGACUUUGGAGUGGCUGGAAAGGUUGAUUAUACAGUUAUUGUCAUAUAUGGAAAAAUCAAUUGGAAUUUGAGGGGUUGCAACAAUUGAAGUUCUUCAUUACUGUACUGGUUACUGGUUAGUACUUUAUAUUUCUUCAGAAUAAGUCGGUUGUUUUUCUUAGUUUACUUUUGGAAUAACCCAUUUUCACUACAUGGAUUUAGACCCUUAUUAUGCUAUGUUCAAUGAUGGAAGUAGAAUGUGUUAUAAAUUCCAGCCUGCUCCCUUUUGAACUUCCAUAAAUUGACAUGUGUAACAACUUCUGUUUAGGAGGUAUAUAUUUAAACAAGGAACAAAUUUCAACUAAUAAUAUUGGACAUUUUCAGACGUAAGGAAGAGGUUCUCUGGCUCGGAAGAACGUCUAUUUCCUUUUCUUUGUCUGCAUUUGCAACAAAGGCCUCCUUAGGUAUCUUUUUUGGUUAUUAGCAUUUGCAGCAUUUGGAGCUCUUGUGUUUGUGAGUUAAAUAAAUUGCGUUUUAAAUAAUUUGUUUCUAGAGCAUUUGGACUUUAAAAUGCUCCAAAGGCAUGUACUAAACGAUUUAAACGUUGUCUAACCAAACACGCACUUAAACUUGUUGCCGGUUGCCAAAAGAGCCUGAGCAGCUCCUGCAGCAAGUGCAAAAAGAAUAUGUCGAAAGUGUCUCACUCACUCGAGGAUGUUGAAAGAGAGCGAAGUUCUUGGAUUGAAUUAAUAAUCCAUGUAUAUAACAUAUGAAAUGAUAAGUGAUAUACACAUUUUUUAUACAUUUUAAUAUUCUCAUAUUUAUUAUUUUAUAUGCUUAUUUUAUUUAACUAAUAUAUUUUAUUUUGUUUUGUAAGAGAUAACAUUUGUUUUUCUUGAGUAAUAAAUAAAAGAUUUAUAUCUACCUUUAAAGAUGAAAAAUGACUCUUAGAUGAUUACUAUAUAAAGAUGGAAGUCAAGAAGGAAAGAAGAGGAAAAGAGGGAACACAACUGUCAGAGUUCAAUGAACCUAAAUUAGGGCACAAAUGUAUUCUCCCUAUAAAUAAGCCUCUUGUUUUAAAGAGAAGGACACCCCUUGUUAUUUUCUUUUCCUUAGUUUUUUCGUUGGUGUAGAAGGAAGUAAGAUAUUUAGAGCUUUUGUCUUUUUUCUUAUUCCAAUCAUGUGUGGUAUUACGUACUGUCAGGGAGUAUUUGUAAAUUUCUUCUAUUGAUAUAAUAGAAAUUCUCUUUUAAUUAUUUUUCUUAUUUCAUGCAAAUACUAUAGUACUAAUAUUAUUUGUUUUUGUUUUUAAUUCCAUGGCUAGCUAAAUUUCUAAUACCUAGGAUGAUGAUGAAAUUAGGUAUUUCAUAAUAAUAUUCUCUUUCCGUUCUGAAAUUAAUGUCUAAUUGUUGUCGCCUUCAUGUUUUCCUCCGCAUAAAUUGCAUAUGAUUCUUAUAUUGAUUGUGAGGUUUUGAUAAGUUAUAGUUAAUCUGUGAAUUUUUCAUAACUUAUGCUUGCCCAUAUUAAUUAUAUGAAUCAUUAUUUUUAAAGGGAAUGAAAAAUAAUUUGAGAAUUAAUUUAGGAAAUAAGAAAUUAUUUAUUAUGUUAAUAUUUGGUGGAUUCUAAUUCCUAAGUAUCUUUUCUCAUUAAUAGUUUCCGUUAUUAAUUAAUAGUUUGCAUAAUUUUGUUAAUAAAUUUUUUCCACCAUUUUUGUUUCUAAUUUGCCUAAAAUAUUAAUUAAGGAUAUAUUAAAGAAUUGAUCUAGUCUCCGUGGUUCGAUCUGCACUUGUCAAAUCUAUAAUAGACGUUGUGCACUUGCAGUACAUAAUUUUAUCACAUCAAAUUUUUGGUGCCGUUGCCGGGGAUUAGACUUAAUUUUAUAUUCCUUAAUUUUUAUUUAUUCGAAUUAGUUUUUCUUCUCUUCUAAUAUUUUUUUUAUUUUUCAGAAUUAUCGAAGCGGAUCAACGGUGCGG
This 2455-nucleotide long non-coding RNA is filed under the name Panax ginseng (ginseng). Its description in RNAcentral is "long non-coding RNA (PGIN_LNC003839)". Lineage: Eukaryota; Viridiplantae; Streptophyta; Magnoliopsida; Apiales; Araliaceae. The record is from RNAcentral.